Hemicordylus capensis (graceful crag lizard) is the source of this 863-nucleotide long non-coding RNA. RefSeq lists it as uncharacterized. The record is from RefSeq and is a predicted model, not a curated record. The transcript is spliced from 3 exons. NCBI's taxonomy places the organism in Eukaryota, Metazoa, Chordata, Lepidosauria, Squamata, Cordylidae.
AGGGGCGCAGCGCGCCUGCUGCUCCUCCUGGGGCUCCUUCUCCCUCCCUCCCUCCCUCGUCAGCAUGGAAGGUAUGGAGCAGAGUCACGACCACCAGGCCCAGCCAGCCGGAUGGGUGUGAGCUGAAGCAGAAAGCCGGAGCGUAACCCAUGGAGCAGCCGAGGCAGGGGAGGAGGAGCCGGAGUCGCCUUUCAGCGCCUUUUAUGCCGGAGCACGUGCUGUGGUGGUAGAGUGAAAGGCAGAGCAAUGUGCUUCCAUCCACACAGCGCUACAGGAGGGUUUCCAGGCAGUCUCGGCCUCCCGUCCCUGUCCCUCCUUGCUGAAGAUAUAACCCAGCACGACUUCUGUCAUAAUGAAACUACAGGCGUCCCAAGGGGUGGAGUGUGCAUGGAUUCAGCACUGCAACACCUUCAGAGGGGAUGCACGCUCCGGGGAGAGAUGCAGACCAACCACUCUGCCGAGAAAUGCUAAGGAAUCCUCCCCAUUGUCUCCUUCCUUGGGACCUUGAAACCAGGAGAGAAUUUCACGGAUCUCUUAGCAAAUCCACCGGUUAGGACACGUGAGAGCUGCAAGGAGAGGGAAGUCUCACAGCCUCAUUCUCCCUUCAGCACUGUGGAGAACAAGGAAGGAUCAACUGCUGACCGUGCAAGGUGCCAAUUAGCUCCGGAUAUCAGGGUUUUCAGUGUUCCCUAAGGAGGCAGUGGGGCAGGGAAUACCAACCUUGAAGAUGUCAACCUGUGGCUUGAUAUAUUGUUCUAUAGCUAAGAUUUUUGUAAACCGCUUUGGGAGGUUCACCUGGAAGCAGUGAAUAAAUGCAAAAACAUAAAAUAAAAUAGAAUGAAAUGAAAUAAAACCAGUUUGGU